UACGUAGGGGGCAAGCGUUGUCCGGAAUCAUUGGGCGUAAAGCGCGUGUAGGCGGCCCGGUAAGUCCGCUGUGAAAGUCCAGGGCUCAACCCUGGGAUGCCGGUGGAUACUGUCGGGCUCGAGUCCGGAAGAGGAGUGUGGAAUUCCUGGUGUAGCGGUGAAAUGCGCAGAUAUCAGGAGGAACACCAAUAGCGAAGGCAGCACUCUGGGACGUGACUGACGCUGAGACGCGAAAGCGUGGGGAGCAAACAGG
Molecule: ribosomal RNA, 253 nt
Filed under: uncultured bacterium
Lineage: Bacteria
Description: partial 16S ribosomal RNA
Rfam family: Bacterial small subunit ribosomal RNA
Source: RNAcentral